This 497-nucleotide ribosomal RNA is filed under the name uncultured bacterium. RNAcentral's name for it is "partial 16S ribosomal RNA". It matches the Rfam family "Bacterial small subunit ribosomal RNA", at positions 28 to 507 of the family's 1533-position model. The record is from RNAcentral.
GAUGAACGCUGGCGGCGUGCCUAAUACAUGCAAGUCGAGCGAACAGACGAGGAGCUUGCUCCUCUGACGUUAGCGGCGGACGGGUGAGUAACACGUGGAUAACCUACCUAUAAGACUGGGAUAACUUCGGGAAACCGGAGCUAAUACCGGAUAAUAUAUUGAACCGCAUGGUUCAAUAGUGAAAGACGGUUUUGCUGUCACUUAUAGAUGGAUCCGCGCCGCAUUAGCUAGUUGGUAAGGUAACGGCUUACCAAGGCAACGAUGCGUAGCCGACCUGAGAGGGGGAUCGGCGACACUGGAACUGAGACACGGUCCAGACUCCUACGGGAGGCAGCAGUAGGGAAUCUUCCGCAAUGGGCGAAAGCCUGACGGAGCAGCGCCGCGUGAGUGAUGAAGGUCUUCGGAUCGUAAAACUCUGUUAUUAGGGAAGAACAAAUGUGUAAGUAACUAUGCACGUCGUGACGGUACCUAAUCAGAAAGCCACGGCUAACUACGUG